UACGUAGGUGGCAAGCGUUGUCCGGAUUUACUGGGCGUAAAGGAUGCGUAGGCGGACAUUUAAGUCAGAUGUGAAAUACCCGAGCUUAACUUGGGUGCUGCAUUUGAAACUGAGUGUCUAGAGUGCAGGAGAGGUAAGUGGAAUUCCCAGUGUAGUGGUGAAAUACGUAGAGAUUGGGAAGAACACCAGUGGCGAAGGCGGCUAUCUGGACGGUUUCUGACACUAAGACUCGAAAGCGUGGGGAGCAAACAGG
This 253-nucleotide ribosomal RNA is filed under the name uncultured bacterium. RNAcentral describes it as "partial 16S ribosomal RNA". It matches the Rfam family "Bacterial small subunit ribosomal RNA", at positions 524 to 776 of the family's 1533-position model. The record is from RNAcentral.